Pimephales promelas (fathead minnow) is the source of this 714-nucleotide non-coding RNA. The record is from RefSeq and is a predicted model, not a curated record. NCBI's taxonomy places the organism in Eukaryota, Metazoa, Chordata, Actinopteri, Cypriniformes, Leuciscidae.
UUUUUUAUAUAAAUAUUAACAGUGGCAUCAGAUUAUAAGAGAUGGGAGUGAUACAUUCUUCUGUGGUUUUCAUUGGGUCUGAUGGUUUGUCUCAGCCCCAGAUGACACAAGAGUCUAUUCCCAUCUCUCUCUCUAUCUCUCUCUCUCUCUGGGAGAAGUUCUUGUCUUCUCCUGCCUUAUUCUUGCUCUUGACCACUUGCUGUCCCUCUGAGUGUACUGUGAUACUUUCAUAUAUAUAUAAUUUUUUCCCAUUUCCAGGCCCUGUGCUCUAAUGUCAAAAAAGAUAUUCUGUUUAUAGAAGGCUUUUUGUUGUCUUUUUUUGUCACCUUUUUAAAAAUGUACAGUUAUAUUAUUUAAAAAAUAUUUUCUUGUCCACUAGUGUUACUUCCUUUUUUUUUUUUUUUUGUAAUAUGCCAUAUUGAAAUCUUUCUUUUUCUGACAUUACCGAUUUAUUAUAGCAGUGGUUUCCAGUCCUGGUCCUGGGGACCCAGAGCCCUGUACAUUUUGUGUCUUCCUUAUUUAACACAUCUGAUUCAGAUCAUUAGCUCAUUAUCAGAGCUCUAUGAGAGACAAACAAAAUGUGCAGUACUGUGGGUUCCCAGGGCCCGAAUUGAAAACCACUGUACUACACCACAUGGCGUUUGGUUUGUGAAGUAUGUUAUAGUGCUUUCCUUUGAUUUAAUAUAAACAAAUAAAACUCUUUACUGUCUCAGA